UACGUAGGGUGCGAGCGUUAAUCGGAAUUACUGGGCGUAAAGGGUGCGCAGGCGGUUCUGUAAGUCAGAUGUGAAAUCCCCGGGCUUAACCUGGGAACUGCGUUUGAAACUACAGAGCUAGAGUGUGGCAGAAGGGGGUGGAAUUCCAUGUGUAGCAGUGAAAUGCGUAGAGAUAUGGAAGAACAUCGAUGGCGAAGGCAGCCCCCUUGGUUAACACUGACGCUCAUGCACGAAAGCGUGGGGAGCAAACAGG
This 253-nucleotide ribosomal RNA is filed under the name uncultured bacterium. Its description in RNAcentral is "partial 16S ribosomal RNA". It matches the Rfam family "Bacterial small subunit ribosomal RNA", at positions 524 to 776 of the family's 1533-position model. The record is from RNAcentral.